This 253-nucleotide ribosomal RNA is filed under the name uncultured bacterium. Its description in RNAcentral is "partial 16S ribosomal RNA". It matches the Rfam family "Bacterial small subunit ribosomal RNA", at positions 524 to 776 of the family's 1533-position model. The record is from RNAcentral.
UACGUAGGGGGCAAGCGUUGUCCGGAUUUAUUGGGCGUAAAGAGCGUGUAGGCGGCUUUACAGGUCCGUUGUGAAAACUCGAGGCUCAACCUCGAGACGCCGGCGGAAACCGUAAAGCUAGAGUCCGGAAGAGGAGAGUGGAAUUCCUGGUGUAGCGGUGAAAUGCGCAGAUAUCAGGAAGAACACCCGUGGCGAAGGCGGCUCUCUGGGACGGUACUGACGCUGAGACGCGAAAGCGUGGGGAGCGAACAGG